GAAUCUUCCACAAUGGGCGAAAGCCUGAUGGAGCAACGCCGCGUGCAGGAUGAAGGCCUUCGGGUUGUAAACUGCUUUUAUAAGUGAAGAAUAUGACGGUAACUUAUGAAUAAGCACCGGCUAACUACGUGCCAGCAGCCGCGGUCAUACGUAGGGUGCAAGCAUUAUCCGGAGUGACUGGGCGUAAAGAGUUGCGUAGGUGGUUUGUUAAGUAGAUAGUGAAAUCUGGGGGCUCAACCUCACAGGCUAUUAUCUAAACUGGCAAACUCGAGAAUGGUAGAGGUAACUGGAAUUUCUUGUGUAGGAGUGAAAUCCGUAGAUAUAAGAAGGAACACCAAUGGCGUAGGCAGGUUACUGGACCAUUUCUGACACUGAGGCACGAAAGCGUGGGGAGCGAACGGG
This 402-nucleotide ribosomal RNA is filed under the name uncultured bacterium. RNAcentral's name for it is "bacterial SSU rRNA". It matches the Rfam family "Bacterial small subunit ribosomal RNA", at positions 359 to 776 of the family's 1533-position model. The record is from RNAcentral.